This 1837-nucleotide ribosomal RNA is filed under the name Salmonella enterica subsp. enterica serovar Anatum. RNAcentral describes it as "partial 23S ribosomal RNA". It matches the Rfam family "Bacterial large subunit ribosomal RNA", at positions 593 to 2334 of the family's 2925-position model. Lineage: Bacteria; Pseudomonadati; Pseudomonadota; Gammaproteobacteria; Enterobacterales; Enterobacteriaceae. The record is from RNAcentral.
GUGACUGCGUACCUUUUGUAUAAUGGGUCAGCGACUUAUAUUCUGUAGCAAGGUUAACCGAAUAGGGGAGCCGGAGGGAAACCGAGUCUUAAUUGGGCGUUAAGUUGCAGGGUAUAGACCCGAAACCCGGUGAUCUAGCCAUGGGCAGGUUGAAGGUUGGGUAACACUAACUGGAGGACCGAACCGACUAAUGUUGAAAAAUUAGCGGAUGACCUGUGGCUGGGGGUGAAAGGCCAAUCAAACCGGGAGAUAGCUGGUUCUCCCCGAAAGCUAUUUAGGUAGCGCCUCGUGAAUUCAUCUCCGGGGGUAGAGCACUGUUUCGGCUAGGGGGCCAUCCCGGCUUACCAACCCGAUGCAAACUGCGAAUACCGGAGAAUGUUAUCACGGGAGACACACGGCGGGUGCUAACGUCCGUCGUGAAGAGGGAAACAACCCAGACCGCCAGCUAAGGUCCCAAAGUCAUGGUUAAGUGGGAAACGAUGUGGGAAGGCCCAGACAGCCAGGAUGUUGGCUUAGAAGCAGCCAUCAUUUAAAGAAAGCGUAAUAGCUCACUGGUCGAGUCGGCCUGCGCGGAAGAUGUAACGGGGCUAAACCAUGCACCGAAGCUGCGGCAGCGAACGUAUCACUUAAAGCGAUUCAGCGGGUUACGAUUGACGGAGCGAAGCGACGUCAAAGCGUAUACAAAGUCGAGUCGGUUUAAGGAUACGUUCGUUGGGUAGGGGAGCGUUCUGUAAGCCUGUGAAGGUGGCCUGUGAGGGUUGCUGGAGGUAUCAGAAGUGCGAAUGCUGACAUAAGUAACGAUAAAGCGGGUGAAAAGCCCGCUCGCCGGAAGACCAAGGGUUCCUGUCCAACGUUAAUCGGGGCAGGGUGAGUCGACCCCUAAGGCGAGGCCGAAAGGCGUAGUCGAUGGGAAACGGGUUAAUAUUCCCGUACUUGGUGUUACUGCGAAGGGGGGACGGAGAAGGCUAUGUUGGCCGGGCGACGGUUGUCCCGGUUUAAGCGUGUAGGCUGGUUUUCCAGGCAAAUCCGGAAAAUCAAGGCUGAGGCGUGAUGACGAGGCACUACGGUGCUGAAGCAACAAAUGCCCUGCUUCCAGGAAAAGCCUCUAAGCAUCAGGUAACAUCAAAUCGUACCCCAAACCGACACAGGUGGUCAGGUAGAGAAUACCAAGGCGCUUGAGAGAACUCGGGUGAAGGAACUAGGCAAAAUGGUGCCGUAACUUCGGGAGAAGGCACGCUGACACGUAGGUGAAGUGAUUUACUCAUGGAGCUGAAGUCAGUCGAAGAUACCAGCUGGCUGCAACUGUUUAUUAAAAACACAGCACUGUGCAAACACGAAAGUGGACGUAUACGGUGUGACGCCUGCCCGGUGCCGGAAGGUUAAUUGAUGGGGUCAGCGCAAGCGAAGCUCCUGAUCGAAGCCCCGGUAAACGGCGGCCGUAACUAUAACGGUCCUAAGGUAGCGAAAUUCCUUGUCGGGUAAGUUCCGACCUGCACGAAUGGCGUAAUGAUGGCCAGGCUGUCUCCACCCGAGACUCAGUGAAAUUGAACUCGCUGUGAAGAUGCAGUGUACCCGCGGCAAGACGGAAAGACCCCGUGAACCUUUACUAUAGCUUGACACUGAACAUUGAGCCUUGAUGUGUAGGAUAGGUGGGAGGCUUUGAAGUGUGGACGCCAGUCUGCAUGGAGCCGACCUUGAAAUACCACCCUUUAAUGUUUGAUGUUCUAACGUGGACCCGUGAUCCGGGUUGCGGACAGUGUCUGGUGGGUAGUUUGACUGGGGCGGUCUCCUCCUAAAGAGUAACGGAGGAGCACGAAGGUUGGCUAAUCCUGGUCGG